UCUUCUACUAUAUUUUUCCUUACAAUUUCUUUGUUGUUGCUGCAAUUUACUGUUAUGAUUAUAUCCUUAUGUUCAUACUUGCGAUUGUUUCUUUGAAUUCUCUUAUAUCAUUUUAAUUUUACCUGCACUCAACAUGUUCGAUGAAAUGCUUCAACCAGAUUUCUUUGAAUGCUCUAUUUGUUAUUUCUUCUCUUGAUUCCUUUGAUGUUUUUGUGCCUUGAUGGCAUCAUGAACUGGUUGAUGUUCUUCUUGAAUUAUGUAGGUGAUGGUGAUAGCUGAAGCCGGAAAUGAGCGAGCUGAGUUUGCAGUUGACGGGUUUCUAAGCACAGUUGAUAGGUUGCAAGCUGAACAACAUAAACAGGCUCUGUUUUCACCAAAGUUGCCUUUCUUCAUGAUCAAGGCUUAAAGUUAAAAGCCAUUGUCAUCUUAGGUACUUUUCAUCGGAUCCCUUCAAAAUACUAAUGAUGGGAUGGAAGGCACUAAUAGAAUUAUAGUCUUUAAGUUCCUGAUAAAAUGGAAUUCUGUAAAACAAGACUUGCUAAUAUUGUGAAGAGUCCGAAAAAAUUAGGUUCCAAGGAUCCAAGGUAUGUUCUCAUAAUAUCUUGUAUUAUCUUGUGAGUUAUUGAUUUCAAGAAACAAAUUCAUCAACAAUCUUCAAUCUCUUGCUUCAAAUUUUGAGCCAUGCAUUAUUUUUAAUAAAUAGCCUUCAGUUGAACUCAUGGUGUUGAAGCAUUAAUCUUGAUUAGCUAGUACCAAUAGCUAUUUAGACUUCAAUAAUAUGCUUAAAUAGACAUAAAUUUAAUUCCUAAAUACAUAUACGAUUUUAACCCUGACUUUAAAGAGUUCUUUUUUGCAGAAAAUUUAAGUCCUAUAACCUGGUCCAUGCAAAAUUCAAUAGAAUGAACAAUUUAGCCACUAAGAGAAUUUAACUCUUUCUUUUGUUUUUCAUUCUUUGUUUAAAAGAACUAUUAAUGAAAAAAAAUUAAUUUUAUUGGCUAAUUUUUAAAUAAAUAUUUAUUUUAGAAUCAAAUCCAAAUAUAUGUAGAAUAGAAAAAGUAUUCCUAAAGGUGUUGUCUAUGUUAUGAUUGAUGAGUGUAAAGUCCACUAAAUUAAGCAAAUUAAAGUCUUGAAUGAAGGUGUCUGAAUUUGAAGUUUACAGCAAGAGACACUCGUUACUAAUCUAUGGUCAAGUGAAGUCAACACUCAACAGUUGCACACCUUAUUAUCAAUUCCCAAUUUAUUUGUUUGCUUAACAUGAUCGAGACAUGAUUUCUACAUUUGAUACAGUCUUGCUAGAUAAAUUGUUUCAAUUGUAGAUAUCCCUCCUCCUCUACCUUUGCCAACUUAGCUCUAAAAGUUAUUUCUUCACUUUUCUACUGGAGAAGACUACUCUUAUGUACAGUUAAGUUUUUCUUUUGCAAUCUCACAGUUUUCCAAAUUAAUUAUAAUAAAAUGAACUGCCAAGUGAGCCGAAAUAAUGCACAUUAGGGCAGAACAACUUGAAAGGUAGCUCAGACUUUAUUUUCAAUUAUUGUUCUAGUUAAUAGUGAUGAUAGAUAUCUAUCACUGCUUCUGUAAGUUAUAUAUCAAGAUUGCAACAGUGAAUUAUUAUUGUAAGGUUCUUGGAGCAUGCUUUUCUUUUCUUGCUCUUCUUAACUAAUGAAUUUCCAACAUGGUUUAAUUUCAUCUUCAUUAGCUUUUGCCCUCAAUUUUCAAGCAAUUGAGAAAGUACAGCUUAACUAUGUUGAAAUCACCCAAACUGAAAGAGUGACAAGUAAUCAAGUAUAUGCUUGAAAUGUGUCUUGUUUUCUGCUAUGUAUCUAUGUAUGUUAAUUGAUGCUUAAGAUAGAUAUAUAAAAGUGUGAAAUGGUAGUAGUAGUAGCUUUGUUUUCGAGCCCCGAGGAAAGUUUAGCUUAUUUCACGUGGACAAGAAAGUUACUGAAGCCAUCAACAGUAUCCUAACAUAUAUAUAUUCAUCAGAUGUGAAAUUCUUUCUUUUCUACUACUAGCUAUAUAGCUAAUAGCUUUCUUUUCUAAUCAAUUGAGAAGCAAUGUAGGUUGGCCAAUUAAUAUAUUUACAAGGAUUGAAAGGGAAGGCCAUAAAUCAAUACAGAAACCUUUUUUGUGGAGGCUCGUGGCAAGGGCUUUGUCAAAAAGGAUCUUAAUAGCCAAAGGAACUUGUUUCGAGAUAUUUUAGAAUUUUUUCAGAUAUUUAAAUUUCACUUUAUUUAUUAGUUAAUAUUACUAUGAUAACCAAAAUCAUUCAUCAUCUUGUAAAUCUAGUAUUUAAGUGUUGAUCUUACUUUGUUAGAGGUAUUUUUCAACGAGGAAGAACCACUGAAGCUGAAGCAAAAUUUGAGAAGCUCUUGAGAAGAAUAAAUGUGAAAUCUGAAAAGGUUGACCUGUCAAAGAGGUAUUAUUAUUUGGUCUUCAUUAAUUAUUACUAUUUAGUGGAGUGGAAGCCGGAGACUAAGUUAAACUUUAAAUCUAUUCAAUAUAACCAAAAAACUUGUAACGUUAAAUUGUUCUAAGGACUUGCUACAAAAUUGUAUUCAAAGGAGUUGAUUAAAAAUGAUCAAAGUAUAAAUUGAUCAAAGUAUCGUUAAGCCUUUAUUAUUGAUUUGCUUCAUAGAGCUCAGAACUAGUUAUCUGCUGUUGGUGCUUGGAAAAACAGUAAGAAAGAAACUCUAGUUCUCUGUCAAAAGUUGAACUACUGGACAAAGAGGUGAGAUCUCUAAUACAUGUUUGCUUCAAACCAUUGUAUUAUUCUAGUUCUCUUUUCUUUCCCAAGUUUUUAACUAUUGAAGUCACAAGUUUUCAACAAGAUCAUUCUGUUCAACAAGAUAAUCUGACUCGGCAGACACAUUAGGUGCUGGGCCCUCAAUUAUCACUAGGCUUCUAGUUGCAGAUACUCAAGCAGGAAGUCUGAUUGGGAAGCAGGGUUCCACCAUAAAAUCCAUUCAAGAUGGCUCUGGUUGCAUUAUACGUGUUCUUGGAUCAGAAAACCUGCCUAUGUUUGCUUUGAGAUACGAUAGUGUUGUUGAAGUACAAGGUGAACCUACCAGAGUUCAUAAGGCAGUUGAAAUUAUUACAGUUCAUUUGCGUAAGUUCUUGGUUGACCGCGGCAUAGUUGGAUUAUUUGAAACAAAGGCAAGUCCUUUUACCUCCCCCUCAUUUUCUUUCCAUGAAGCUAAAAGGUGCGAAUGCAAAGACCAAAAGAUGCAAAUGCCAAAUGUUUGAGUCAACUACAAUGCACCCCCACGCCAACCUUGGGUUCCUCCUCCUCAAGGGUUUCCAGCUCCUGGUGGCGGUGGCCUACUUUUGCACCCCCUAGUAAGCAAUAUAUGCCACCAUUAAUUCCCUAUGAUAAUUAUUACCCAACAGCCGACCUGCCUCCUAUGGACAAACAAUUCCAUCAGGCUGCACUAUCUGCAUAUGGCAGGGAUCCUUUCGCUGGAAUUCAUCCACCAAGUGCACAACCACAACAAUCUGAUGCAACUAAGGUUACGCAGCACAUGCAAAUUCCUCUAUCAUAUGCAGAUGCUAUUAUUGGAGCAUCAGGUGCAAAUAUCAGUUACAUUCGUCGUGCUAGUGGAGCAAGUGUUACGGUUAGGAGAGAAGGGGUGUGCCAGGCUUGAUGACUGUUGAAAUAAGUGGGACUACAUCAGAGAUACAGGCAGCCCAACAUUGUUGUUAUUUUUGUAAAACUUGUGGGAUUGGAUUUUUGAUUUGUUGAAAUAUAAUGUUAUUUUUGGAGAAUUCAACUUUUGAUAAUAGAAAUCUUUGAUGUUUGAGA
Molecule: non-coding RNA, 3796 nt
Organism: Arachis ipaensis
Lineage: Eukaryota; Viridiplantae; Streptophyta; Magnoliopsida; Fabales; Fabaceae
Source: RefSeq, a predicted model, not a curated record